This 90-nucleotide transfer RNA is filed under the name Erythrobacter sp. RNAcentral's name for it is "tRNA-Ser". It matches the Rfam family "tRNA". From Rfam's summary of the family: Transfer RNA (tRNA) molecules are approximately 80 nucleotides in length. Their secondary structure includes four short double-helical elements and three loops (D, anti-codon, and T loops). Further hydrogen bonds mediate the characteristic L-shaped molecular structure. tRNAs have two regions of fundamental functional importance: the anti-codon, which is responsible for specific mRNA codon recognition, and the 3' end, to which the tRNAs corresponding amino acid is attached (by aminoacyl-tRNA synthetases). tRNAs cope with the degeneracy of the genetic code in two manners: having more than one tRNA (with a specific anti-codon) for a particular amino acid; and 'wobble' base-pairing, i.e. permitting non-standard base-pairing at the 3rd anti-codon position. Lineage: Bacteria; Pseudomonadati; Pseudomonadota; Alphaproteobacteria; Sphingomonadales; Erythrobacteraceae. RNAcentral also lists the same sequence under 1 other name. The record is from RNAcentral.
GGACAGGUGGCAGAGUGGUUGAAUGCAGCGGUCUUGAAAACCGCCGUGGGUGAAAGCCCACCGUGGGUUCGAAUCCCACCCUGUCCGCCA